RNAcentral lists this long non-coding RNA (554 nucleotides) under Marmota monax (woodchuck). The record is from RNAcentral. Lineage: Eukaryota; Metazoa; Chordata; Mammalia; Rodentia; Sciuridae.
CGGGAGGCUCGGUGAAAGUGGGCCUUGCUGGCCUCUGAGUAGUCGGCCAGUUACCUCUGUGCCCUAGUGCUUGUGGCGCGUUCUCUUGUUACACCUGAAUAAAGUCCUUAUCCCUUCGCCCUACGGGCACCUUCAGCUCCCGCCCCCACGUCCCGCUGCACUGUGGACGGGACGCAGCCCCGUUCUUGGAGCUCUACGGCAACCGGGCUGAAACGUACUUUGAAGCAGCCAGAAGUGGGGGCUGAUGGGUCUGUGAGUCUUAAGAGGAGUCAGGACACGAGACUGAAGGACAAGCUGUGGUGGCCCGGGGGUUGGAGAAGAGCUUACCUAGCAGAUGGGAAGGAGUACAUAGGGACACAGAAUCUGCGCUGGGAGCUGAGGACAGCUGGGGUGGGGGUGUUUGGGUCUGUGGAGUGACCGUAGGUGACAUUGGAGGUUAUGAUAGCUCAAGGAAGGCCCUCUGUAGUGCACACCCAAGUCUAGAGAUCUCAUAUGUGAUCAGAUUCACAAUUUGGAAAGAUCGUGGGUAAAAUAUAGAAGGUAGUUGAAUGACG